Molecule: ribosomal RNA, 385 nt
Filed under: uncultured bacterium
Lineage: Bacteria
Description: bacterial SSU rRNA
Rfam family: Bacterial small subunit ribosomal RNA
Source: RNAcentral
AUUGAACGCUGGCGGCAGGCCUAACACAUGCAAGUCGAACGCGAAAGUCACUUCGGUGGCGAGUAGAGUGGCGGACGGGUGAGUAACGCGUAGGAAUCUGCCCUGUAGUGGGGGAUAACCCGGGGAAACUCGGGCUAAUACCGCAUACGCCCCACGGGGGAAAGCGGGGGAUCCUUCGGGACCUCGCGCUAUAGGAAGAGCCUGCGUCGGAUUAGCUAGUUGGUAGGGUAAAGGCCUACCAAGGCGACGAUCCGUAGCUGGUCUGAGAGGAUGAUCAGCCACACCGGAACUGAGACACGGUCCGGACUCCUACGGGAGGCAGCAGUGGGGAAUAUUGCGCAAUGGGCGAAAGCCUGACGCAGCCAUGCCGCGUGUGUGAAGAAGG